AUGGGGGAAACCCUGAUGCAGCAACGCCGCGUGAGGUAUGAAGGCCUUUGGGUGUGUGAAGCCUCUGUCCUAGGGGAAGAAAAAAAUGACGGUACCCGAGAGGAAGCCCCGGCUAACUACGUGCCAGCAGCCGCGGUAAUACGUAGGGGGCAAGCGUUAUCCGGAAUUAUUGGGCGUAAAGAGUGCGUAGGUGGUCUACUAAGCGCGAGGUGAAAGGCAAUGGCUCAACCAUUGUUAGCCUUGUGAACUGGCAGACUUGAGUGCAAGAGAGGAAAGCGGAAUUCCUAGUGUAGCGGUGAAAUGCGCAGAUAUUAGGAGGAACACCGGCGGCGAAGGCGGCUUUCUGGAUUGUAACUGACACUGAGGCACGAAAGCGUGGGUAGCAAACAGGAUUAGAUACCCUGGUAGUCCACGCCGUAAACGAUGAGCACUAGGUGUCGGGACAUGAGUCUCGGUGCCGCAGUUAACGCAUAAGUGCUCCGCCUGGGGAGUACGCACGCCAGUGUAAAACUCAAAGGAAUUGACGGGGACCCGCACAAGCAGC
RNAcentral lists this ribosomal RNA (544 nucleotides) under [Eubacterium] saphenum. RNAcentral describes it as "bacterial SSU rRNA". It matches the Rfam family "Bacterial small subunit ribosomal RNA", at positions 371 to 933 of the family's 1533-position model. Lineage: Bacteria; Bacillati; Bacillota; Clostridia; Peptostreptococcales; Anaerovoracaceae. The record is from RNAcentral.